This 91-nucleotide small nucleolar RNA is filed under the name Wallemia ichthyophaga. The record is from RNAcentral. Lineage: Eukaryota; Fungi; Basidiomycota; Wallemiomycetes; Wallemiales; Wallemiaceae. RNAcentral also lists the same sequence under 1 other name.
GCACAAGGAUGAAGUAUAGCACUGGGCGCUGAAUAUCAAUGAGCCGAUAACGCUUAAGGGGGGCCUCAGAAACCCACCCGCGACUGAAUGC